Molecule: RNase P RNA, 390 nt
Filed under: Desulfobacterales bacterium
Lineage: Bacteria; Pseudomonadati; Thermodesulfobacteriota; Desulfobacteria; Desulfobacterales
Description: RNase P RNA component class A
Rfam family: Bacterial RNase P class A
About the family: Ribonuclease P (RNase P) is a ubiquitous endoribonuclease, found in archaea, bacteria and eukarya as well as chloroplasts and mitochondria.
Source: RNAcentral
GGAGUAACUCAAACGAUCGCUGGAUAAUUGCUUGCGUCCAGAGGAAAGUCCGAACACCAUAGGGCAGGGUGCUCCAUAACGUGGAGUCGUGGCAACACGAAGGAAAGUGCAACAGAAAGUAUACCGCCCGGCACCAAAACAAUUGUUUUGGUGCCGGGUAAGGGUGAAACGGUGCGGUAAGAGCGCACCAGUUCCUCGGGUGACCGGGGAAGCUUGGCAAACCCCACCCGGUGCAAGACCAAAUAGAGGAGCGAUGGAGAGUGGCCCGCUCAAGCUCCCGGGUAGGUCGCAAGAGAUGCCGGGUAACCGGUAUCCUUAGAUGAAUGAUCGUUGUCCGGUUUGGGGAAACCCGGACCGGGGACAGAAUUCGGCUUAUGAGUUACUCUGGCC